GAUGAACGCUGGCGGCGUGCUUAACACAUGCAAGUCGAACGGAAAGGCUCCUGCUUGCAGGGGUACUCGAGUGGCGAACGGGUGAGUAACACGUGGGUGAUCUGCCCUGCACUUCGGGAUAAGCCUGGGAAACUGGGUCUAAUACCGGAUAGGACGAUGGUUUGGAUGCCAUUGUGGAAAGUUUUUCGGUGUGGGAUGAGCUCGCGGCCCAUCAGCUUGUUGGUGGGGUAAUGGCCUACCAAGGCGUCGACGGGUAGCCGGCCUGAGAGGGUGUACGGCCACAUUGGGACUGAGAUACGGCCCAGACUCCUACGGGAGGCAGCAGUGGGGAAUAUUGCACAAUGGGCGCAAGCCUGAUGCAGCGACGCCGCGUGGGGGAUGACGGCCUUCGGGUUGUAAACUCCUUUCGCUAGGGACGAAGCGCAAGUGACGGUACCUGGAGAAGAAGCACCGGCUAACUACGU
This 464-nucleotide ribosomal RNA is filed under the name uncultured bacterium. RNAcentral describes it as "partial 16S ribosomal RNA". It matches the Rfam family "Bacterial small subunit ribosomal RNA", at positions 28 to 506 of the family's 1533-position model. The record is from RNAcentral.